Molecule: regulatory RNA element, 83 nt
Organism: Atopobium deltae
Lineage: Bacteria; Bacillati; Actinomycetota; Coriobacteriia; Coriobacteriales; Atopobiaceae
Rfam family: aspS RNA
Source: Rfam
GCAUACGAUUUGCUGUCUACAAAACGCAUGCCGUCUUACUACAACAUCACCCGCCCCGGCACGGGGUGAUAUAGACGAAAGGA